Arachis ipaensis is the source of this 238-nucleotide non-coding RNA. Lineage: Eukaryota; Viridiplantae; Streptophyta; Magnoliopsida; Fabales; Fabaceae. The record is from RefSeq and is a predicted model, not a curated record.
UCCGGCAACCUUUUCAAGAAUCUUGGAGGCACUGAUUAUUUCUGCCCUAGUUGCAAAGUGAAGUUUAAUUUUGAGUUAUCUGAUUCCGAAAAAUCACAGCCAAAAGUCAAAUGGAGCAAAAACAAUGGGCAGCUAGUGCUUCCAAAAAGGGUCAAUGUUCUAUGCAAUGGUGUGGAAGGAAUCUAUCAUCCAGGCCUUCACUUGUAAGUAUUUUUUUACAGAAUUCGUUUCCUAUUCU